UACGUAGGGGGGCAAGCGUUGUCCGGAAUCAUUGGGCGUAAAGAGCGUGUAGGCGGUUCGGUAAGUCGGCUGUGAAAGUCCAGGGCUCAACCCGGGAACUGCGUCCGAUACUGGAAGGCUUGAAUCCGGGAGAGGGAUGCGGAAUUCCAGGUGUAGCGGUGAAAUGCGUAGAUAUCAGGAGGAACACCGAUGGCGAAGGCAGCUCGCUGGGACGGUACUGACGCUGAGGCGCGAAAGCGUGGGGAGCAAACAGG
RNAcentral lists this ribosomal RNA (254 nucleotides) under uncultured bacterium. RNAcentral describes it as "partial 16S ribosomal RNA". It matches the Rfam family "Bacterial small subunit ribosomal RNA", at positions 524 to 776 of the family's 1533-position model. The record is from RNAcentral.